Molecule: ribosomal RNA, 201 nt
Filed under: uncultured bacterium
Lineage: Bacteria
Description: partial 16S ribosomal RNA
Rfam family: Bacterial small subunit ribosomal RNA
Source: RNAcentral
AGUCUGCAACCCGACUACAUGAAGCUGGAAUCGCUAGUAAUCGCGGAUCAGAAUGCCGCGGUGAAUACGUUCCCGGGUCUUGUACACACCGCCCGUCACACCAUGGGAGUCGGAAAUGCCCGAAGCCGGUGACUCAACCUUUAAGGAGAGAGCCGUCGAAGGCAGGUCUGAUAACUGGGGGUGAAGUCGUAACAAGGUAUC